This 760-nucleotide ribosomal RNA is filed under the name uncultured bacterium. RNAcentral describes it as "bacterial SSU rRNA". It matches the Rfam family "Bacterial small subunit ribosomal RNA", at positions 729 to 1489 of the family's 1533-position model. The record is from RNAcentral.
CUGGACGAAGACUGACGCUCAGGUGCGAAAGCGUGGGGAGCAAGCAGGAUUAGAUACCCUGGUAGUCCACGCCGUAAACGAUGUCGACUUGGAGGUUGUGCCCUUGAGGCGUGGCUUCCGGAGCUAACGCGUUAAGUCGACCGCCUGGGGAGUACGGCCGCAAGGUUAAAACUCAAAUGAAUUGACGGGGGCCCGCACAAGCGGUGGAGCAUGUGGUUUAAUUCGAUGCAACGCGAAGAACCUUACCUGGUCUUGACAUCCACGGAAGUUUUCAGAGAUGAGAAUGUGCCUUCGGGAACCGUGAGACAGGUGCUGCAUGGCUGUCGUCAGCUCGUGUUGUGAAAUGUUGGGUUAAGUCCCGCAACGAGCGCAACCCUUAUCCUUUGUUGCCAGCGGUCCGGCCGGGAACUCAAAGGAGACUGCCAGUGAUAAACUGGAGGAAGGUGGAGAUGACGUCAAGUCAUCAUGGCCCUUACGACCAGGGCUACACACGUGCUACAAUGGCGCAUACAAAGAGAAGCGACCUCGCGAGAGCAAGCGGACCUCAUAAAGUGCGUCGUAGUCCGGAUUGGAGUCUGCAACUCGACUCCAUGAAGUCGGAAUCGCUAGUAAUCGUGGAUCAGAAUGCCACGGUGAAUACGUUCCCGGGCCUUGUACACACCGCCCGUCACACCAUGGGAGUGGGUUGCAAAAGAAGUAGGUAGCUUAACCUUCGGGAGGGCGCUUACCACUUUGUGAUUCAUGACUGGGGUGAAGUCGU